AGAAUCAACGCUGGCGGCGUGCCUAACACAUGCAAGUCGAACGAGAAAGUGGAGCAAUCCAUGAGUAGAGUGGCGACCGGGUGAGUAACACGUGACUAACCUACCUUCGAGUGGGGGAUAAACCUCGGGAAACCGAGGCUAAUACCGCAUAACAUCGCAAGAUCAAAGCAGCAAUGCGCUGGAAGAGGGGGUCGCGGCUGAUUAGCUAGUUGGCGGGUAACGCCCACAAGGCGAAGAUCGGUA
Molecule: ribosomal RNA, 243 nt
Filed under: uncultured bacterium
Lineage: Bacteria
Description: partial small subunit ribosomal RNA
Rfam family: Bacterial small subunit ribosomal RNA
Source: RNAcentral